Molecule: ribosomal RNA, 1371 nt
Filed under: uncultured bacterium
Lineage: Bacteria
Description: bacterial SSU rRNA
Rfam family: Bacterial small subunit ribosomal RNA
Source: RNAcentral
GAUGAACGCUGGCGGCGUGCCUAAUACAUGCAAGUCGAGCGAACGGACGAGAAGCUUGCUUCUCUGAUGUUAGCGGCGGACGGGUGAGUAACACGUGGAUAACCUACCUAUAAGACUGGGAUAACUUCGGGAAACCGUAGCUAAUACCGGAUAAUAUUUUGAACCGCAUGGUUCAAAAGUGAAAGACGGUCUUGCUGUCACUUAUAGAUGGAUCCGCGCUGCAUUAGCUAGUUGGUAAGGUAACGGCUUACCAAGGCAACGAUGCAUAGCCGACCUGAGAGGGUGAUCGGCCACACUGGAACUGAGACACGGUCCAGACUCCUACGGGAGGCAGCAGUAGGGAAUCUUCCGCAAUGGGCGAAAGCCUGACGGAGCAACGCCGCGUGAGUGAUGAAGGUCUUCGGAUCGUAAAACUCUGUUAUUAGGGAAGAACAUAUGUGUAAGUAACUGUGCACAUCUUGACGGUACCUAAUCAGAAAGCCACGGCUAACUACGUGCCAGCAGCCGCGGUAAUACGUAGGUGGCAAGCGUUAUCCGGAAUUAUUGGGCGUAAAGCGCGCGUAGGCGGUUUUUUAGUCUGAUGUGAAAGCCCACGGCUCAACCGUGGAGGGUCAUUGGAAACUGGAAAACUUGAGUGCAGAAGAGGAAAGUGGAAUUCCAUGUGUAGCGGUGAAAUGCGCAGAGAUAUGGAGGAACACCAGUGGCGAAGGCGACUUUCUGGUCUGUAACUGACGCUGAUGUGCGAAAGCGUGGGGAUCAAACAGGAUUAGAUACCCUGGUAGUCCACGCCGUAAACGAUGAGUGCUAAGUGUUAGGGGGUUUCCGCCCCUUAGUGCUGCAGCUAACGCAUUAAGCACUCCGCCUGGGGAGUACGACCGCAAGGUUGAAACUCAAAGGAAUUGACGGGGACCCGCACAAGCGGUGGAGCAUGUGGUUUAAUUCGAAGCAACGCGAAGAACCUUACCAAAUCUUGACAUCCUUUGACAACUCUAGAGAUAGAGCCUUCCCCUUCGGGGGACAAAGUGACAGGUGGUGCAUGGUUGUCGUCAGCUCGUGUCGUGAGAUGUUGGGUUAAGUCCCGCAACGAGCGCAACCCUUAAGCUUAGUUGCCAUCAUUAGGUUGGGCACUCUAAGUUGACUGCCGGUGACAAACCGGAGGAAGGUGGGGAUGACGUCAAAUCAUCAUGCCCCUUAUGAUUUGGGCUACACACGUGCUACAAUGGACAAUACAAAGGGCAGCGAAACCGCGAGGUCAAGCAAAUCCCAUAAAGUUGUUCUCAGUUCGGAUUGUAGUCUGCAACUCGACUACAUGAAGCUGGAAUCGCUAGUAAUCGUAGAUCAGCAUGCUACGGUGAAUACGUUCCCGGGUCU